This 450-nucleotide ribosomal RNA is filed under the name uncultured bacterium. RNAcentral describes it as "partial 16S ribosomal RNA". It matches the Rfam family "Bacterial small subunit ribosomal RNA", at positions 354 to 796 of the family's 1533-position model. The record is from RNAcentral.
GUGGGGAAUUUUGGACAAUGGGCGCAAGCCUGAUCCAGCAAUGCCGCGUGCAGGAAGAAGGCCUUCGGGUUGUAAACUGCUUUUGUACGGAACGAAACGGCUCUGGUUAAUACCCGGGGCUAAUGACGGUACCGUAAGAAUAAGCACCGGCUAACUACGUGCCAGCAGCCGCGGUAAUACGUAGGGUGCAAGCGUUAAUCGGAAUUACUGGGCGUAAAGCGUGCGCAGGCGGUGCUGUAAGACAGGCGUGAAAUCCCCGGGCUCAACCUGGGAAUUGCGCUUGUGACUGCAGUGCUGGAGUGCGGCAGAGGGGGAUGGAAUUCCGCGUGUAGCAGUGAAAUGCGUAGAUAUGCGGAGGAACACCGAUGGCGAAGGCAAUCCCCUGGGCCUGCACUGACGCUCAUGCACGAAAGCGUGGGGAGCAAACAGGAUUAGAAACCCGAGUAGUCC